Molecule: ribosomal RNA, 819 nt
Filed under: Escherichia coli
Lineage: Bacteria; Pseudomonadati; Pseudomonadota; Gammaproteobacteria; Enterobacterales; Enterobacteriaceae
Description: bacterial LSU rRNA
Rfam family: Bacterial large subunit ribosomal RNA
Source: RNAcentral
AAUGAGGCGAACCGGGGGAACUGAAACAUCUAAGUACCCCGAGGAAAAGAAAUCAACCGAGAUUCCCCCAGUAGCGGCGAGCGAACGGGGAGGAGCCCAGAGCCUGAAUCAGUGUGUGUGUUAGUGGAAGCGUCUGGAAAGGCGCGCGAUACAGGGUGACAGCCCCGUACACAAAAAUGCACAUGCUGUGAGCUCGAUGAGUAGGGCGGGACACGUGGUAUCCUGUCUGAAUAUGGGGGGACCAUCCUCCAAGGCUAAAUACUCCUGACUGACCGAUAGUGAACCAGUACCGUGAGGGAAAGGCGAAAAGAACCCCGGCGAGGGGAGUGAAAAAGAACCUGAAACCGUGUACGUACAAGCAGUGGGAGCACAGAGCAAUCUGUGUGACUGCGUACCUUUUGUAUAAUGGGUCAGCGACUUAUAUUCUGUAGCAAGGUUAACCGAAUAGGGGAGCCGAAGGGAAACCGAGUCUUAACUGGGCGUUAAGUUGCAGGGUAUAGACCCGAAACCCGGUGAUCUAGCCAUGGGCAGGUUGAAGGUUGGGUAACACUAACUGGAGGACCGAACCGACUAAUGUUGAAAAAUUAGCGGAUGACUUGUGGCUGGGGGUGAAAGGCCAAUCAAACCGGGAGAUAGCUGGUUCUCCCCGAAAGCUAUUUAGGUAGCGCCUCGUGAAUUCAUCUCCGGGGGUAGAGCACUGUUUCGGCAAGGGGGUCAUCCCGACUUACCAACCCGAUGCAAACUGCGAAUACCGGAGAAUGUUAUCACGGGAGACACACGGCGGGUGCUAACGUCCGUCGUGAAGAGGGAAACAACCCA